UACGAAGGGAGCUAGCGUUGCUCGGAAUCACUGGGCGUAAAGGGUGCGUAGGCGGCCGUGCAAGUCUGGCGUGAAAGCCCCGGGCUCAGCCCGGGAAGUGCGCUCGAAACUGCGCGGCUCGAGUGCCGGAGGGGAGAGUGGAAUUCCUGGUGUAGCGGUGAAAUGCGUAGAUAUCAGGAGGAAGACCGGUGGCGAAGGCGACUCUCUGGACGGCAACUGACGCUGAGGCACGAAAGCGUGGGGAGCAAACAGG
Molecule: ribosomal RNA, 253 nt
Filed under: uncultured bacterium
Lineage: Bacteria
Description: partial 16S ribosomal RNA
Rfam family: Bacterial small subunit ribosomal RNA
Source: RNAcentral